UACGAAGGGGGCUAGCGUUGCUCGGAAUUACUGGGCGUAAAGGGCGCGUAGGCGGCACUGUUAGUCAGGCGUGAAAGUCCUGGGCUCAACCUGGGAACUGCGCUUGAUACGGCAGAGCUAGAGGAUGGAAGAGGCUCGCGGAAUUCCCAGUGUAGAGGUGAAAUUCGUAGAUAUUGGGAAGAACACCGGUGGCGAAGGCGGCGAGCUGGUCCAUUACUGACGCUCAGGCGCGAUAGCGUGGGGAUCAAACAGG
Molecule: ribosomal RNA, 253 nt
Filed under: uncultured bacterium
Lineage: Bacteria
Description: partial 16S ribosomal RNA
Rfam family: Bacterial small subunit ribosomal RNA
Source: RNAcentral